GACGAACGCUGGCGGCGUGCUUAACACAUGCAAGUCGAACGGAAAGGCCCUGCUCUUGUGGGGUGCUCGAGUGGCGAACGGGUGAGUAACACGUGAGUAACCUGCCCUUGACUUUGGGAUAACUUCAGGAAACUGGGGCUAAUACCGGAUAGGAGCUCUUGCUGCAUGGUGGGGGUUGGAAAGAUUCGGCGGUUGGGGAUGGACUCGCGGCUUACCAGCUUGUUGGUGGGGUAGUUGUUUACCAAGGCUAUGACGGGUAGCCGGCCUGAGAGGGUGACCGGCCACAUGGGGACUGCGAUACGGCCCAGACUCCUACGGGAGGCAGCAGUGGGGAAUAUUGCACAAUGGGCGGAAGCGUGAUGCAGCAGCGCCGCGUGCGGGAUGACGGCCUUCGGGUUGUAAACCGCUUUCGCCUGUGACGAAGCGUGAGUGACGGUAAUGAGUAAAGAAGCACCGGCUAACUACGUG
This 468-nucleotide ribosomal RNA is filed under the name uncultured bacterium. Its description in RNAcentral is "partial 16S ribosomal RNA". It matches the Rfam family "Bacterial small subunit ribosomal RNA", at positions 28 to 507 of the family's 1533-position model. The record is from RNAcentral.